AUUGAACGCUGGCGGAAUGCUUUACACAUGCAAGUCGAACGGUAGAGGGGGCAACCCCUUGAGAGUGGCGAACGGGUGAGUAAUAUAUCGGAACGUGCCCAGUCGUGGGGAUAACGUAGCGAAAGUUACGCUAAUACCGCAUACGAUCUAAGGAUGAAAGCGGGGGACUCGCAAGAGCCUCGCGCGAUUGGAGCGGCCGAUAUCGGAUUAGGUAGUUGGUGGGGUAAAGGCUCACCAAGCCAACGAUCUGUAGCUGGUCUGAGAGGACGACCAGCCACACUGGAACUGAGACACGGUCCAGACUCCUACGGGAGGCAGCAGUGGGGAAUUUUGGACAAUGGACGCAAGUCUGAUCCAGCCAUUCCGCGUGCAGGAUGAAGGCCCUCGGGUUGUAAACUG
RNAcentral lists this ribosomal RNA (399 nucleotides) under uncultured bacterium. RNAcentral's name for it is "bacterial SSU rRNA". It matches the Rfam family "Bacterial small subunit ribosomal RNA", at positions 30 to 432 of the family's 1533-position model. The record is from RNAcentral.